AUGGUCCACAUAUCAGAUAUUAAACUGAUAAGAACAGAUACUACACUUGAUCUUAGCCAAAAGGCCGAGAAAGGUAUGAGUUGUAGCGGCUGCCCUGCCCCUCUAUUUGUAGCCUCCUCGCCCUCCCGUGCCCUCCUCGCUGGGCGAGGUGGGACUAAACGAGUUGCUCCUCGCGCCUGCGGAGUGCGGACGGUGCAUUGCCCCCGAGCCAACCGCUUUGCAUGGGCCGCCUUUUGCUGA
Molecule: ribosomal RNA, 240 nt
Filed under: Triticum aestivum (bread wheat)
Lineage: Eukaryota; Viridiplantae; Streptophyta; Magnoliopsida; Poales; Poaceae
Description: partial small subunit ribosomal RNA
Source: RNAcentral